RNAcentral lists this long non-coding RNA (397 nucleotides) under Brassica napus (rape). Its description in RNAcentral is "long non-coding RNA (BNAP_LNC017171)". Lineage: Eukaryota; Viridiplantae; Streptophyta; Magnoliopsida; Brassicales; Brassicaceae. The record is from RNAcentral.
UUGUCUUCAACUUUACACCAUAACUUUUAUUUUAGAAUAACAUUUUUUCAACUAUUUGAUGAUAUUAAACAUAUAUUUAUAUUAAAGUAUUUUAUUAUUUAUUCACCCGUCCAUAGGGCAGGCCAAACCUUAGUAUUAUUAAAAGGGGACUGAUAUUAAUAUAGAAAAAAAUAUAGAAAAAGGCAGAUUAUUCACCAAUCAUAAAAUCUCUACUAAUAAAAGAGACCUUUUGAGGCUCCAUAGAGCAUCCACGUCAGCGAAAAAAUUUCUCCCGAAAUAUGACACGUGGCAUUGUUACUAAAAAAAGUAAAUACACAAUAUAAGAAAAAAUAAAUAAUAAGUAAAUGUACAAUAUCUAUAUUAAUAAAAUGGACCUUUUGAGGCUCCAUAGAGCGUC